CCGGCCGCAUGGUCUGGUGGUGGAAAGAUUUUUUGGUUGGGGAUGGACUCGCGGCCUAUCAGCUUGUUGGUGAGGUAAUGGCUCACCAAGGCGACGACGGGUAGCCGGCCUGAGAGGGUGACCGGCCACACUGGGACUGAGACACGGCCCAGACUCCUACGGGAGGCAGCAGUGGGGAAUAUUGCACAAUGGGCGAAAGCCUGAUGCAGCAACGCCGCGUGAGGGAUGACGGCCUUCGGGUUGUAAACCUCUUUUAGUAGGGAAGAAGCGAAAGUGACGGUACCUGCAGAAAAAGCACCGGCUAACUACGUGCCAGCAGCCGCGGUAAUACGUAGGGUGCAAGCGUUGUCCGGAAUUAUUGGGCGUAAAGAGCUCGUAGGCGGUUUGUCGCGUCUGCUGUGAAAUCCCGAGGCUCAACCUCGGGCUUGCAGUGGGUACGGGCAGACUAGAGUGCGGUAGGGGAGAUUGGAAUUCCUGGUGUAGCGGUGGAAUGCGCAGAUAUCAGGAGGAACACCGAUGGCGAAGGCAGAUCUCUGGGCCGUAACUGACGCUGAGGAGCGAAAGCGUGGGGAGCGAACAGGAUUAGAUACCCUGGUAGUCCACGCCGUAAACGUUGGGCGCUAGAUGUAGGGACCUUUCCACGGUUUCUGUGUCGUAGCUAACGCAUUAAGCGCCCCGCCUGGGGAGUACGGCCGCAAGGCUAAAACUCAAAGGAAUUGACGGGGGCCCGCACAAGCGGCGGAGCAUGCGGAUUAAUUCGAUGCAACGCGAAGAACCUUACCAAGGCUUGACAUACACCGGAAACGGCCAGAGAUGGUCGCCCCCUUGUGGUCGGUGUACAGGUGGUGCAUGGUUGUCGUCAGCUCGUGUCGUGAGAUGUUGGGUUAAGUCCCGCAACGAGCGCAACCCUCGUUCUAUGUUGCCAGCGCGUUAUGGCGGGGACUCAUAGGAGACUGCCGGGGUCAACUCGGAGGAAGGUGGGGAUGACGUCAAAUCAUCAUGCCCCUUAUGUCUUGGGCUUCACGCAUGCUACAAUGGCCGGUACAAAGGGCUGCGAUACCGUAAGGUGGAGCGAAUCCCAAAAAGCCGGUCUCAGUUCGGAUUGAGGUCUGCAACUCGACCUCAUGAAGUCGGAGUCGCUAGUAAUCGCAGAUCAGCAACGCUGCGGUGAAUACGUUCCCGGGCCUUGUACACACCGCCCGUCAAGUCAUGAAAGUCGGUAACACCCGAAGCCGGUGGCCUAACCCUUGUGGAAGGAGCCGUCGAAGGUGGGAUCGGUGAUUAGGACUAAGUCGUAACAAGGUAGCCGUACCGGAAGGUGCGGCUGGAUCACCUCCUUUCUAAGGA
RNAcentral lists this ribosomal RNA (1347 nucleotides) under Curtobacterium sp. C2H10. RNAcentral's name for it is "bacterial SSU rRNA". It matches the Rfam family "Bacterial small subunit ribosomal RNA", at positions 182 to 1533 of the family's 1533-position model. The record is from RNAcentral. Lineage: Bacteria; Bacillati; Actinomycetota; Actinomycetes; Micrococcales; Microbacteriaceae.